AUAAGGGACAGCACUGUUGUUGUAUGUCAGGAGAGCACGAGUCUGGACCCUGGAGUAGGCACCGGGACAGUCACUAAACUACAGCCUUUGUCAGCUUCAGUGCUCAACUGCUCCUCUAGUCUAGGGACCUACUGCUAUGGUCCAGGCCCGACCAGAGGAGCAGUGACGCAGCAGGGCAGUAAAGCUGAGCUGCUGGCAGCAGUAUGUCUGUUGGGGUUGCCUAGCUACUACUAUAUAUAGGGGCAUUGAGGAGAGGGGGCCUACAACUGUAUAAGGAGGCAGUAGAGGGGCCUACAACUGUGUAUAGGGGCAGUAUGGGGGCCUAUAACUAUAUAUAAACCCUGGGUGGUCUGAUGAAGCGCUAGCUGCGUGAAAUAGCUAUCAUCCUUGGCGUCCCACGUGUAUGUACCUGCUGUGUUAUGCUGCCGUUGGAAUAAAGUUCAGUAUUUUAUUGGAUUGGAAAUAUGGUCAGCCUAAUCAUGGAAAAUGUAGGCUUCGUUAUGAAAACCAUACCAGGGGGGAAGAAGGAAUCUAAAUGGCAGAAAACCUAUGAAUGCCACAUCAACUAAAAGAGGAGUCCAGUAGGCGGUCCUACUCCGUGACUGACAGCUUUCGUCUAUGACUGUGCAUGCAAAGAUAAGGACAACUUCUAAUGAUUCUUUUCUCACAAAUGUAUACAUCUAUCUGCUUAGCUCCUCCUGCUCUAUAACAGGAUGGUGGUAGAUCAGACUGCUUGGUGACCAUGAUCAGUUCCCUUUAAUAAGACCCUCACGUUCUUGAUAAAAAUUAACCAUUAAAUAGGGAAAGUAUAGUUAAAGAGUACCUCUCAUGAUCUUGUUACUUUUAUAAUCCUCCCAGCUCACUGCCCCCAUCAUGAUAAACCACCCCCUGCCUUUAUUUUUAUUAUUUUUUUAGUUUUCUACCUUGAUAUCGGUCUGUAUUUUCUGCUCAGUCCGAUUUACAGACUGGGAAGGGGCGUUACCCAGCAGGCAUGACAUCAUCUGAAGCCAUACAGGGGAGAACUUCCUCCCUCACUCUGCUACACACAGCCCAUAGCAGUUCAGUGUGAGAUAAGCUAUGAUUGGCUAAGGCUGCACACACACCCCUAAGCACUCCAGACUGCAUUUCCUGAUUUUGGACUUCUGCUAGGCCAGUCUGUGAUAUUCUAUGGAAGAGAUGGGGGGAAAUGUGCUCUGGACAAGUAGGGAGACACUUAGUGGCAGCUUUUUUAGACCCUAUGAAUAGUGCUCUUGUGUAG
Molecule: long non-coding RNA, 1258 nt
Organism: Hyla sarda
Lineage: Eukaryota; Metazoa; Chordata; Amphibia; Anura; Hylidae
Exons: 3
Source: RefSeq, a predicted model, not a curated record